GUUGGAUCCUUUCUAUAUAGUUCUCUGCCAAAUGGCUGUGGAAUUUCUGUGUGAAAUCUCUUUUGACAGAGAACUCGCUAACUCUUGGGAGCAGCUCACCCCAUCUUUGAACAACACCAGCUAUUUGACCUUAUGAGAUGGCUUUUCCUGGAGCUUCCAUAACAUUAGUCCUAAUCUGUCCAUUAGGGCCACAGAGCACAAGUAUAAUCCCUCCUCCAAGCCAGCUCUUCAGAUACGCGAAGAUGAUAAAGGCAACUCCAUCAGGUCUUCUGCAAGUGGUGUGAGUCGUGCUCCCUGAAGAUUGCUCUGAUUGUCAAGGUUACUCAAAAGUCUGGUCCCUGGAUUCGAGUGCUGCCGUCCAGCACAUCGCUCCUGUGCAUCCCAAUGCUACCAUAAUCCACUGUGAGCUCAGGCAAUCAUGAGAAAAUGCAAGGGAGGAUUACCCACAGAGACAAUGGAACUCAUACUUCUUCGAGUCCCUUGCUUAGCACAGAGACCAAAUCCCUGUUCACCUCUCU
RNAcentral lists this long non-coding RNA (518 nucleotides) under Equus caballus (horse). RNAcentral describes it as "lncRNA (ENSECAG00000045988.1)". Lineage: Eukaryota; Metazoa; Chordata; Mammalia; Perissodactyla; Equidae. The record is from RNAcentral.